UUUCCGUAGGUGAACCUGCGGAAGGAUCAUUAUCGAAAUACUUAUUUAGCGUUCCGUGCUAUCCCAUUGUUUUAUUUACCCUGUUGCUUCCACUGGAUGAGUUUCCAUACCUUGUGUUUGAGAAACUUUGGCUUGUGUAAGAUUCAUUCACGGCCAGCCAGUGAGAAGACCAUUUACAAAACCCUGUUAGGAACCAAUUGUCUGAAUAUUUUACUCCAAUGAAAUAAAACUCUCAACAACGGAUCUCUAGGCUCUU
Molecule: unclassified non-coding RNA, 256 nt
Filed under: plant metagenome
Description: partial contains small subunit ribosomal RNA, internal transcribed spacer 1, and 5.8S ribosomal RNA
Source: RNAcentral